ACCUGAGGAUAGAUGACUUCUAUAGAGGCCAGACGACUUCAUGUGGCUGUGAGAAACCUGAGGAACACCCUCUCCAACUGUUAGACAUGAGGAGAUCAAGAUUAAAAUUUAUUUGAUAAUGAUCUCUAACUUGUUUUGAUUCCUAUGGUAGAUUUAAUAGUUAGAUCUAGAAUUUCAGCAUCGAUGAGAUCAAUGUGAUUUUUAUUAUCAGAUUUAAAAUAUAUAUUUUUCAUAUCAAAGAUUUUGAUGUGGUAGUCUAAGAUUAGAUCUUAUACAUAUGAUUAAGAUUAAAUUAUUUAAUUUAUUA
Molecule: long non-coding RNA, 307 nt
Filed under: Elaeis guineensis (African oil palm)
Lineage: Eukaryota; Viridiplantae; Streptophyta; Magnoliopsida; Arecales; Arecaceae
Description: long non-coding RNA (EGUI_LNC056516)
Source: RNAcentral